UGGCGCCCAACGUGUGGGCUCCUGGCAUGGGGGAGUCAACGAGGGAGCCGUUCGAGAAAGCCGGCUAAAAGUAAAAGCAAAUUGAACCAAAGACCACGGUGAGAAGUAAUAAGGCUAAAAGCAAAAGCACAUUAAAUUAAGGACUGAGGCCUGUGCGGAUGACUACCUGACGUGCCGCCCGAGUCAUGGUGAGUGAAUGGCGACCCCAUUCCCUUUCCUGGAUGUGGGUCAAGCAUUGAGCAAACACGAAUUGUUCGUGGGAGGCCUUAUAAAGGCAUUAAAGACAAGAGGAGUGAGGGUUAGAACAAAAGAAUUAUUGCAGUAUUUUCAAUUUAUUCUUAAGGUUUGCCCUU
This is a regulatory RNA element of Cavia porcellus (domestic guinea pig), 353 nucleotides long. It matches the Rfam family "Mason-Pfizer monkey virus packaging signal". From Rfam's summary of the family: The packaging signal is located in the 5' UTR and is required for specific RNA encapsidation. Lineage: Eukaryota; Metazoa; Chordata; Mammalia; Rodentia; Caviidae. The record is from Rfam.